This 483-nucleotide ribosomal RNA is filed under the name uncultured bacterium. Its description in RNAcentral is "partial 16S ribosomal RNA". It matches the Rfam family "Bacterial small subunit ribosomal RNA", at positions 30 to 506 of the family's 1533-position model. The record is from RNAcentral.
AUUGAACGCUGGCGGCAUGCCUUACACAUGCAAGUCGAACGGCAGCGCGGACUUCGGUCUGGCGGCGAGUGGCGAACGGGUGAGUAAUACAUCGGAACGUACCCUGUUGUGGGGGAUAACUAGUCGAAAGAUUAGCUAAUACCGCAUACGACCUGAGGGUGAAAGUGGGGGAUCGCAAGGCCUCACGCAGCAGGAGCGGCCGAUGUCUGAUUAGCUAGUUGGUGGGGUAAAGGCCCACCAAGGCGACGAUCAGUAGCUGGUCUGAGAGGACGACCAGCCACACUGGGGCUGAGACACGGCCCAGGCUCCUACGGGAGGCCGCAGUGGGGAAUUUUGGCCACUGGGGGCAACCCUGAUCCAGCAAUGCCGCGUGUGUGAAGAAGGCCUUCGGGUUGUAAAGCACUUUUGUCCGGAAAGAAAUCGCGCUGGUUAAUACCUGGCGUGGAUGACGGUACCGGAAGAAUAAGCACCGGCUAACUCCGU